RNAcentral lists this unclassified non-coding RNA (335 nucleotides) under Hevea brasiliensis (rubber tree). Lineage: Eukaryota; Viridiplantae; Streptophyta; Magnoliopsida; Malpighiales; Euphorbiaceae. The record is from RNAcentral.
GUCACAUCUGCCAAAAGAAACCCUCCAAAACUGAAUCACAGAAAGACAGAAAGUUCACGAAAUAUUCUAGUGCUAAUUUCUCCACGAAAAAAUCCACAUCAAAAGGGGAGACAAGAGAAUCAGUCAGCUUUAUAAAUUUCCUUCAUACUCCAUAUGAUUAUCGAAUUCACACAAAAAAAUUAAAGAAAACUUGGAAUAUCAGAAAAAGCUGGGGCGAGUGUGUGGCUGUGGUGAGAUUAGGCUCCAAUUUUUUCUGUUCUUACUACAUGAUUCUCAACUGUCAUGCAAAGCAGAAUUAAGGAUAAAAAGCAAAAAAGAUGCAAACAACAAAUCAG